This 406-nucleotide ribosomal RNA is filed under the name uncultured bacterium. RNAcentral describes it as "partial 16S ribosomal RNA". It matches the Rfam family "Bacterial small subunit ribosomal RNA", at positions 29 to 526 of the family's 1533-position model. The record is from RNAcentral.
AUUGAACGCUGGCGGCAGGCCUAACACAUGCCAGUCGAGCGAGCGGCGGACGGGUGAGUAAUGUCUGGGAAACUGCCUGAUGGAGGGCGAUAACUACUGGAAACGGUAGCUAAUCCCGCAUACCAUCAGAUGUGCCCAGAUGGGUUUAGCUAGUAGGGGGGGUAAUGGCCCACCUAGGCGAAGAUCCCUAGCUGGUCUGAGAGGAUGACCAGCCACACUGGAACUGAGACACGGUCCAGACUCCGACGGGAGGCAGCAGUGGGGAAUAUGGCGCAAUGGGCGCAAGCCUGAUGCAGCCAUGCCGCGGUUGUGAAGAAGGCCUUCGGGGUGUAAAGCACUUUCAGCUGGGAGGCGUUACCCGCAGAAGAAGCACCGGCUAACUCCGUGCCAGCAGCCGCGGUAAUAC